RNAcentral lists this ribosomal RNA (809 nucleotides) under Streptomyces shenzhenensis. RNAcentral describes it as "bacterial SSU rRNA". It matches the Rfam family "Bacterial small subunit ribosomal RNA", at positions 62 to 886 of the family's 1533-position model. Lineage: Bacteria; Bacillati; Actinomycetota; Actinomycetes; Kitasatosporales; Streptomycetaceae. The record is from RNAcentral.
UCGAACGAUGAACCACUUCGGUGGGGAUUAGUGGCGAACGGGUGAGUAACACGUGGGCAAUCUGCCCUGCACUCUGGGACAAGCCCUGGAAACGGGGUCUAAUACCGGAUAUGAGCCUGGGAGGCAUCUCCCGGGUUGUAAAGCUCCGGCGGUGCAGGAUGAGCCCGCGGCCUAUCAGCUUGUUGGUGAGGUAAUGGCUCACCAAGGCGACGACGGGUAGCCGGCCUGAGAGGGCGACCGGCCACACUGGGACUGAGACACGGCCCAGACUCCUACGGGAGGCAGCAGUGGGGAAUAUUGCACAAUGGGCGAAAGCCUGAUGCAGCGACGCCGCGUGAGGGAUGACGGCCUUCGGGUUGUAAACCUCUUUCAGCAGGGAAGAAGCGAAAGUGACGGUACCUGCAGAAGAAGCGCCGGCUAACUACGUGCCAGCAGCCGCGGUAAUACGUAGGGCGCAAGCGUUGUCCGGAAUUAUUGGGCGUAAAGAGCUCGUAGGCGGCUUGUCACGUCGAUUGUGAAAGCCCGAGGCUUAACCUCGGGUCUGCAGUCGAUACGGGCUAGCUAGAGUGUGGUAGGGGAGAUCGGAAUUCCUGGUGUAGCGGUGAAAUGCGCAGAUAUCAGGAGGAACACCGGUGGCGAAGGCGGAUCUCUGGGCCAUUACUGACGCUGAGGAGCGAAAGCGUGGGGAGCGAACAGGAUUAGAUACCCUGGUAGUCCACGCCGUAAACGGUGGGAACUAGGUGUUGGCGACAUUCCACGUCGUCGGUGCCGCAGCUAACGCAUUAAGUUCCCCGCCUGGGGAGUACGGC